GACGAACGCUGGCGGCGUGCCUAAUACAUGCAAGUAGAACGCUGAAGGAGGAGCUUGCUCUUCUGGAUGAGUUGCGAACGGGUGAGUAACGCGUAGGUAACCUGCCUGGUAGCGGGGGAUAACUAUUGGAAACGAUAGCUAAUACCGCAUAACAGUAGAUGUUGCAUGACAUUUACUUAAAAGGUGCAAUUGCAUCACUACCAGAUGGACCUGCGUUGUAUUAGCUAGUUGGUGGGGUAACGGCUCACCAAGGCGACGAUACAUAGCCGACCUGAGAGGGUGAUCGGCCACACUGGGACUGAGACACGGCCCAGACUCCUACGGGAGGCAGCAGUAGGGAAUCUUCGGCAAUGGACGGAAGUCUGACCGAGCAACGCCGCGUGAGUGAAGAAGGGUUUCGGAUCGUAAAGCUCUGUUGUAAGAGAAGAACGAGUGUGAGAGUGGAAAGUUCACACUGUGACGGUAUCUUACCAGAAAGGGACGGCUAACUACGUG
This 495-nucleotide ribosomal RNA is filed under the name uncultured bacterium. RNAcentral's name for it is "partial 16S ribosomal RNA". It matches the Rfam family "Bacterial small subunit ribosomal RNA", at positions 28 to 507 of the family's 1533-position model. The record is from RNAcentral.